This 24-nucleotide non-coding RNA is filed under the name Arabidopsis thaliana (thale cress). The record is from RNAcentral. Lineage: Eukaryota; Viridiplantae; Streptophyta; Magnoliopsida; Brassicales; Brassicaceae.
CCGAUUAAUCUGUUCAUUGUGAUC